This is a long non-coding RNA of Oncorhynchus keta (chum salmon), 1153 nucleotides long. RefSeq lists it as uncharacterized. NCBI's taxonomy places the organism in Eukaryota, Metazoa, Chordata, Actinopteri, Salmoniformes, Salmonidae. The transcript has 3 exons. The record is from RefSeq and is a predicted model, not a curated record.
AACACUGAGUGGUAGAGCAAAGAUUGUUCACCUACAACCUAUGACCUGCUUUAGAGGUCAGGCCAUAUACAAACACAUGGAGAUGCACAGGGAGACACACACAUACGACUCCAGGAGGAGGGAGGGACGGUUGCCGAGGAAGUCCUGGUUGCCAAGGGUGUGGAGCGGUGGGGGAUCCCGUUUCACCAGAGAGAGGAGAGGUGAGGCUAGGAGGUGUGUCCAGGGAGAAUACAGGUGUGGAGCGGUGGGGGAUCCCGUUUCACCAGAGAGAGGAGAGGUGAGGCUAGGAGGUGUGUCCAGGGAGAAUACAGGUGUGGAGCGGUGGGGGAUCCCGUUUCACCAGAGAGAGGAGAGGUGAGGCUAGGAGGUGUGUCCAGGGAGAAUACAGGUGUGGAGCGGUGGGGGAUCCCGUUUCACCAGAGAGAGGAGAGGUGAGGCUAGGAGGUGUGUCCAGGGAGAAUACAGGUGUGGAGCGGUGGGGGAUCCCGUUUCACCAGAGAGAGGAGAGGUGAGGCUAGGAGGUGUGUCCAGGGAGAAUACAGGUGUGGAGCGGUGGGGGAUCCCGUUUCACCAGAGAGAGGAGAGGUGAGGCUAGGAGGUGUGUCCAGGGAGAAUACAGGUGUGGAGCGGUGGGGGAUCCCGUUUCACCAGAGAGAGGAGAGGUGAGGCUAGGAGGUGUGUCCAGGGAGAAUACAGGUGUGGAGCGGUGGGGGAUCCCGUUUCACCAGAGAGAGGAGAGGUGAGGCUAGGAGGUGUGUCCAUUGAGAAUACAGGUGUGGAGCGGUGGGGGAUCCCGUUUCACCAGAGAGAGGAGAGGUGAGGCUAGGAGGUGUGUCCAGGGAGAAUACAGGUGUGGAGCGGUGGGGGAUCCCGUUUCACCAGAGAGAGGAGAGGUGAGGCUAGGAGGUGUGUCCAUUGAGAAUACAGGUGUGGAGCGGUGGGGGAUCCCGUUUCACCAGAGAGAGGAGAGGUGAGGCUAGGAGGUGUGUCCAUUGAGAAUACAGGUGCCAGUUCAUGGCUACUGAACCAUCUGGCUUGGGUGUGGUUUCACUAACAGUAUAUGUCUAAUACAUCUCAUCUCCUCUCUUCACCCCACCUCUCCUCUCCCCUCUCCUCCUAUCUCAUCCUCUCCUCCUCCUCUCCUCCUAUCUCA